GGGGGUGUCUAUAGCGGUAGGGUUCCACCUGAUCCCAUCUCGAACUCAGAAGUUAAGCCUGCCUGCGGCAACGCUAGUACCGAGGAAGCUCGGCGCAAGACAAGCACGAUGCCCCCA
Molecule: ribosomal RNA, 117 nt
Filed under: Bdellovibrionales bacterium
Lineage: Bacteria; Pseudomonadati; Bdellovibrionota; Bdellovibrionia; Bdellovibrionales
Source: RNAcentral